Hyposmocoma kahamanoa is the source of this 1636-nucleotide long non-coding RNA. RefSeq lists it as uncharacterized. The transcript has 3 exons. NCBI's taxonomy places the organism in Eukaryota, Metazoa, Arthropoda, Insecta, Lepidoptera, Cosmopterigidae. The record is from RefSeq and is a predicted model, not a curated record.
GCCGUAAACAUGAAUGUCUGUGAAAUUGGUUAAAAUUUGCGGGAAGGAUGUUAAGGGAUUGAUUGAUAGGGGUAGUGAUGUAAAUAUAGUUUCAGAAAGGUUGGUUUUUGACGUAGGUACAUAUUACAACUUUUGUAAAAGAAAGUGUAACCUUCGUCGAACUUGGUGAUAAACGGAUAAAUUCCCUUUGAAUCUAUGAAACUUAAUGUUGAGUUCGAUGGACAGUGUUUCAAAACAACCUUCAUAAUGUACCACAUGACGUAAUACCGUAUAAUGUACUUUUACGGCAAGAGUUUUUGUCGAAUGCUGUAAGUAAUGUUAAACAGGGGUUCAGUUAUGAUCAUGCCACAAAAGGAUCAGCAAUAAGACAGUCUACACUCGAAACUACACUCCGACUAAAGUUACAGAGGCACCCAUCAAAAUGAAAAUUGUAUUAACCAGGACGUACCAGUAGCGCAACGCCUCCGGAGGUUCGGAAGUCGAUAAGAAGAUUGAAAAUACAUUACUUUGCGGCACUCGCUACACCAACAAAUUUACUGAAGAUUAAUCAGAUAUUCCAAUUUACUGAAUAUGAAAGAGAUACAUCAAACUCUUAACCAGUAUUCAAAAUUUAUCAUCUAGAUUUACCCACGUAACUGCAUACAGAUGCAUCAUUGCAUGCCCACGACGCUGAACUACACCCGGUUUACUACUCAAGUAGAAAAAUGACAGAUAGAAAAAAUAUACAAAUUACGAACUAGAAGUUGUAACAGUGCUAGAAGGUGUUAAAAAAUUCCGUAAAUAUCCUAGGAAUCCCUUUCAAGAUAGUUAAAAAUUGUUCCACUUUUGAGAUGACACUACGUAAGAAGGACUUAGCCACAUGGGUUGCAAGAUGGGCUUUAUUAACAAGACUAUGACUAUACAGUAGAGCAUCGAUGAGGGUCCAAGAUGAGAGACAUUGUUGCAUUAAGUCGAAGUGCCCAGUUGUCAGUGAUAAUGAGAAAAAGACAGAUGCAUAAUCAACUCAGAAUUGCACAAGAAAAUGAUGAAGGACUGAAGGCCAUUAUGGAAAUUUUGAAGUGUAAUACCUAAAGCAAUGGAAACAUAAAUAUUAAGAAGAGUGCAUGGAGUUGGACAUUUUGACAAAAGAAAGAUUGAUUUAGUAAACAAAGAUUAUUUUAUCAAAGAUUUAAAUAAGAAAGUAGAAGACUUUGUUGUAACAUGUAUACCUUGUGUUUAAGCUACCAAGAAGGAGGGAAAACAGUAAGGAUUUUUGAACCCGAUAGAGAAAGAAAAUGUGCCUCUACAUACAAUUCAUAUUGACCACAUAGGGUGAAUGACUUACUUAACAUAAAAUUUGUGACGUAAAGUUUUUCUUUUUGUUUAACAUUUAUUCAAAGUGCCUAUGAAUGUACUUAUUAGGUAUAAUAUUUUCUCUUUAUGUUAGAUUUAAGAGCUAUUUAAAGUAUUACAUUGUAAUGUACAUGGAGCUAGGGACUGGCCAUGGCCAGAUGUGGGAUCGGAAUGUUAAGAAUAAGUGAAAGGGAUAACGAAUGAUGUGAGCAUAAUGUAUGAAAGAGACAAGAUAUUAUAAUUUUUAUUGUACAUUGAUUGGCUGCUGAUGAUAACAUAGUGGUGUUUAAUACUGGUGCAUUCC